CAUUUUCCUUUGGAAGAAAUACUAGGUUGGUGAUCGAUCGCAUGUGAGGAGGGAUCGAUUGCUAUUUCGAGCAGAAUGUAGAGAUUGAAAGGAGAUCGAUCUGUUUGGGAGCGAUCACCCAGUUGACGUAACUUGUAGUUCUGCUUUUUCCUUCCUUCGUCGUCACUUUUCUUCUCUCUCUCUCUCUCUCUUUCUCUCUCUCUCUCUCCUAUCUGAAAUAUCUUCUCUCUACAUUUCUUACAUUCAACAUACAAAACCCUUGAUCUCCCCCACCUAGAGUGUAAGAUGAUCAAAAAUCAAAGUAUUAAAGUUGUAGAGCACGUCGUGGGCUUUGAUCUUACCGAGCCCAAUCCUAGUUAGAGCAUUUUGGGUUUUCAAGCUUUCUUCCUUCGGUUCUUCUAAUUUGAUGUAUUGACGAUGUGCCUCCGCCAAUAUGAUGACCUAGGGAUUGUUGAGCAUGAAGCUCACUUAUUUGUUAUUUUGUGGUUUGUAUGACCUAGGGCCUUAUUUAUGUAUCAGGUUGAGACCUUUUUUUGUUGUAGAUAGGGCGAUGCCCUUUCCUUUUCAUGUAAGCCUACAAGACAUUUUAUUUGAAUACAGAAACAAGAGAUCUAUGUAGUGUUUCACA
Non-coding RNA from Camellia sinensis, 628 nucleotides. Lineage: Eukaryota; Viridiplantae; Streptophyta; Magnoliopsida; Ericales; Theaceae. The record is from RefSeq and is a predicted model, not a curated record.